Molecule: small RNA, 303 nt
Filed under: Pongo abelii (Sumatran orangutan)
Lineage: Eukaryota; Metazoa; Chordata; Mammalia; Primates; Hominidae
Description: processed transcript
Source: RNAcentral
CUUCUAUUCACUAAAACCAUGUGUCUGAACUGAAGAAGCUGGGGCUCACUUCCACAAAUAAAGCGACAGAAGAAAUUAUAGGCUAGGCUGAGAUCUAAAAGGAGAGCUCCAGAAUGGAGGCUUGGACCAGGGGCAGACCAGGAGCUUAUCAAGAUACAAUUGAAUAAUCAAAGGGUGGAGCCUGGACAAAAUGUUUACUUGUCUGUAGGUAGCCUUUUCAGAUGAUAUGCAAAUGAUUCACAUCGUGUUUGAAGUUCAAACCAAGGAAAACUAUCAGAAAAGACUUCUGGAUUCUGUAAAAAA